This 107-nucleotide small nuclear RNA is filed under the name Dasypus novemcinctus (nine-banded armadillo). Lineage: Eukaryota; Metazoa; Chordata; Mammalia; Cingulata; Dasypodidae. The record is from RNAcentral.
GUGCUUGCUUAAGCAGCACAUAUACUAAAAUUGGAAUGAUACAAAGAAGAUUAGCAUGGCCCCUGUGCAAGGAUGACAUUCAAAUUUGUGAAGCAGUCCAUAUUUUC